Molecule: long non-coding RNA, 482 nt
Organism: Lepidothrix coronata (blue-crowned manakin)
Lineage: Eukaryota; Metazoa; Chordata; Aves; Passeriformes; Pipridae
Exons: 3
Source: RefSeq, a predicted model, not a curated record
AACACAGCAUGCUGCAGAUGUGCGCUUUGUGAGAGGCUGGAUUAGAUCAUCGCCAUGGAAAGGAAAUACUGUGUCUCCUGGAGGCAAAACCAGCAAAUCCAGGGGGAUUGAUGGAAUGCUAGAUACCUCAUGAGAAUUCUGCAUUGUCAGAGCAUUUAUACCGAAUAUUUUAUAGAUACAUGUCCAGUUGGUUCCCCUGUUGAGGUUCUGAGUCCCUGGCUGUUACUGGUGUGUUGGAAAGCAAUGACUCCUCAGAUGUUCCUGUAUACCUUUAUCUGUCUGCCUCCAAUUACUUUAUGAGCUCAUGAAAAUGAACACAAGGCAUCUUUGACAUUCCUCUCUCUCAUUUCCUCUCCUAUUUUUUACAUGGGGCACUUUUGCCAAUAACUCUUUCCUAGUAAAACAAUGCCUCUGAAUUCAUGCUGUGUGUGUAUGUGAUUCCAUGUACCCUCCCUCCCCACCUCCCCAAAUGUUUGAGCCUG